Molecule: long non-coding RNA, 459 nt
Filed under: Elaeis guineensis (African oil palm)
Lineage: Eukaryota; Viridiplantae; Streptophyta; Magnoliopsida; Arecales; Arecaceae
Description: long non-coding RNA (EGUI_LNC037613)
Source: RNAcentral
GAUUGGCAUUGCAGUAAAAAUACCUUUUAAUGAUAAUUUUAUAGCGGCAAUUCUUUAAUAGCCAUCAAAAAUUAAAUAUUUAUAUAUCAAUUAUGGUUAUUAAUAAAUGAUCAUAAAAAAUGUACUAUUCUUCUUUAAUUGCCAUUAAAAAUAAUAAAAUUGGUCCAACGCCAAAUCACCUGCGCUGAUAAUUCAGCCUAACAUGGUGCCCCCCACGCCCCAUUUGCUUUCGUAUUCCCUUAAUCCUCACAUUAAUUCUUCCAUUCUCUCCCCACGCCCCGGCCCCCUAUUCUUUCAUAUUCCCCUAAACCUUCCCAAAGCCUCCAUUCUCUUCACUCUGCAGAUCUAUCCGAGGCUCACCAAUGCUCAAAAUAUUUCUUGCAGAGAAAUCAGUGCAGGGGCUUGGUGAUUGGCUUCCUUCCAUCUCCUCCAUUUCUAGGUAUGUUUGUUUCUUUGGAU